This 614-nucleotide small RNA is filed under the name Pan troglodytes (chimpanzee). RNAcentral's name for it is "processed transcript". Lineage: Eukaryota; Metazoa; Chordata; Mammalia; Primates; Hominidae. The record is from RNAcentral.
AAAUAACCGGGAGACAAGCUUUCGGAGGCUUUUGACUGACUGGAUGUGGGAAUGUUGUGGAAGACUUCUGGCCUGCCAUUUCCUGAGAACGGGACUGCUGAGAGAGGAGCUGGGAGGAGCACUGCAAAUUUCACUUUGGACACAGCCUGGCAGAGAGCAGGUGUGUGAUACAUGUCGUCAGGUGACUGACCGAGGAAUUCAGGGCAAACAGAUCAUCUCAAUUUGCCUUGCUGAUGUGCCAGCUGGGAUUACGCUGAUGGAUGAAGCUCUUCAGAGCUAUGGGCAAUAUCUACAUAUUUGAUUGUCAAGAAACUUCGUGUGGAAAUAGCUUCAAACUUACACAAAUUGCAAGAAUAAAAAAUAGUAUAAGGAUAUUCGUACACACUCUCUUUACUCAGAUUCACCUGUUAAUAUUUUGCUCCAUUUGCUCUCUAUGUGUGCAGAGUAUGUUUUUUGUUCUGAACCAUUUGAGAAGUUGCAUCUAUCCUGGUCCUCUACUUCUAAAUACUUCAGUGUGUAUUACCUAAGAAUUGGAAUUAAUCAGUUAUCACUGAUACUUUAACCUACUGUCCAUAUUCCAACUUUGUCAUUUUACCCAGUAACGUCUUUUUAAA